Molecule: non-coding RNA, 378 nt
Organism: Merops nubicus (carmine bee-eater)
Lineage: Eukaryota; Metazoa; Chordata; Aves; Coraciiformes; Meropidae
Source: the annotation of a RefSeq genome assembly
AUGCUGCUGCUUUCAGUCAUCCUUCCAACUUUAUUUUGGUCCCGUGGAGAUGGCCAGGGAGCACCGGUGCAAACCCCGGGGCUGCAGAGGGAGCUGGAGGGCAGCUCUGCCCGCAUGGAGUGCCGCAUAGCAGACGAGACCGUCCUGCACUGGUACAGACAGCUUCCUGGGGAGCCACCAAAGAGGCUACUGUACGUGAUGGGACAGUCACCUGUUUUUGAUGACAGCAGCUUUGGCAUGAGAGUUCGAGUUUGGAAACUCAGCACCGAGCCUCUCUACAGCCUCACAAUACAGUCCUUAACCCCAAGGGAUUCCGGCACCUACUACUGUGCAUAUUGGUUUCAUCGAGGCAUCACAGCCUUAGACGGGCAAAGAUAA